This is a long non-coding RNA of Alexandromys fortis (reed vole), 1700 nucleotides long. RefSeq lists it as uncharacterized. Lineage: Eukaryota; Metazoa; Chordata; Mammalia; Rodentia; Cricetidae. The record is from RefSeq and is a predicted model, not a curated record. The transcript has 3 exons.
ACAUGCCUUUAAUCCCAAUACAUGGUUGGCAGAGGCUGGAGGAUCUCAAUGAACUUUUGUUUAAUUAAAAAUUUUAUUUUAUGUAUAUGGGUGUUUUGCCUGCAUUUAUAUCUGUGCACCAUAUGCAUUCCUGGUGCCAGUGAAGGCCAGGCGAGGGCAUUGGAUCCCCUGGAGCUGGGUUUACAGACAGUGGUGAGCCACUACCAUAUGGAUUCUGGGAUUCAAACCCUGGUGAAGAAGAGCGGCAAGUACUCUCCAAUGCUGUGGAACAAUCUCUCUGUACACUGUGAAGAUGAGCCAGUCUGGUUGGUUUAAUAAAAAACUGAAAGGCCAAUAGCUAGGCAGAAUUUCCAGGCACAGAGAGAGGAUGUUGGGAAGAAGCAAGGGAGAUGCCAGGGGAUGCAGAGCAAGCAGGCGGGUACUAUGGAGAUGAGGUCAUUAAAGUCAAAGGCAGAAAGUAAAUUUGUAGAAAUGGGUUGAUUUAAGUUAUAACUGCUAGUCAGAAAUGAUGGAGGAGGGUCAUCUGUCUAUCUGUUGCUUUCAUUGGUUAAUUAAUAAAGAAAGCUGCUUGGCCUGAUAGGGCAGAAUUUAGAUAGGUGGAGUAGACCGAAUAGAAUGCUGGGAAGAAGGGAAGUGAGCAGACACUACAGCUCUCCUGUCCAAGAUGGACGCAGGUUAAGAUCCUCCCUGGUAAGGCACCACCUCGUGGUGCUACACAGAUUUUUAGAAAUGAGUUAAGCAAGAUAUGAGAAUUAGCCAAGAAGAGGCUAGAACUAAUGGGCCAAGCAGUGUUGAAAAGAAUACAGUUUCCGUGUAAUUAUUUCAGGUAAAGUUAGCCAGUGGCUGCGAGCCAUGCGUGACAGGAAGCGGCCCACAGCUCCUUCUACACAGAAACAAGCCUAAGCCGUCAGUCAAACGUCCACAAUUAAUAAUAAGUCUCUGUGUCAUUAUCGGGGAGCCAGCAGUCCCAAUGAAGAAGUCCAGCUACACUCCAGCCCUUCCGUAAACUCUAUGAUGCAGAGGGCUAGGAGCAGGAGCGAUUUCCUUCUCCAACUGAGCUGGUGUUUCCUGUUUAUUUUGGAGAGAUGCCUGAAUAAGGGCCUUGAUGCCCUGCUCUUAAUCCCCAGAUGCUUAUCAUGGCAAAGAAGCUCUGCAGAGGGCACUGAACUCAGGGGCUAGAGAUGAUCCUGGGUCUUCAUAAGAACCUCAGAAGGAAGCAGGAGAGCCAGGGUGGGGCGGAGAUGCCUCAGUGGAAGCAGACGGUUGAGAGGCUGUUACUGGCCUUGAAAAUGGACAGAAGAUGGGCCCGAGAGAUGGAAGACUGGGAAAUAGGUCCUUCGGGACCCUUCCUCAGGAGAGCCUGACAACUCGAGCCUGACAACUCCGCACUCUCGGUCUGCUGACAUGCCCAGAGAAUGAUGAAGAUCUUCUGUGUUAAGCCCUGCUGGGGACCCAGAACAAAGGACGUGUUAGGCAGACACUACUACCCAACUGUCCUCCCAACUCUACAUGUUCAUCAAAAACACAAACAGAACUGGAGCCAGAUGUGGUGCUGGACAUUUAAUCCCUGUGCUGGAGACAGAGGCAGACAGAUCCCUGUGAGCUCGAGGACAGCCUGGUCUACACGGUGAGUUCCAGGUGAGCCGAGGCUACUUAGUGAAACUUUGAUUCAAACUAAACAUAUAAAAGGAAUUCCAGGU